Molecule: long non-coding RNA, 480 nt
Organism: Dermacentor silvarum
Lineage: Eukaryota; Metazoa; Arthropoda; Arachnida; Ixodida; Ixodidae
Exons: 3
Source: RefSeq, a predicted model, not a curated record
UGUGAGCAUUCAAGUUUCGUUUUUUGCACUUGCUUAGUAGCUGAAAUUGCGGACAUUGCAGGGUUGGGCUUGAUGACAUUUGUUGCUCAGCUGCCGCGACACAUUUGGAGCAAAGCUUCUGCUUAUUUCCUUUGGCCGCACCUUAUAUUUGUUGUCUUUGUCAACAUCUGACCUGUUUCUGCCUCGUUGAAAGCAAGUGGCCACAAGUACUGCUUAGUUUGCUCAGUCUAAACCUGGCCACUUCACAACUGCAAGCUGAAUCUGAUGUAGGCAGUGUCAGGGUCAUGGCCCAUAUUUUAGUGAACGCCAAGAAUGCGUCCUGUGACUGAAGUUUGAGCAUUUGAGCCCACCUUUUGGAAGUGCUUUUUAUGUGCACUCAGUAAGUGACAGUUAUCCAUGCUUCUUGACAUGAUUUUAAGUGAUCCUAGAGGCAACACUUAUUGAUCUGCAUUAUGCAAAUGUUUUUAUAUUUUCACUAAU